AGUGAACGCUGGCGGUAGGCCUAACACAUGCAAGUCGAACGGCAGCACAGUAAGAGCUUGCUCUUACGGGUGGCGAGUGGCGGACGGGUGAGGAAUACAUCGGAAUCUACUUUUUCGUGGGGGAUAACGUAGGGAAACUUACGCUAAUACCGCAUACGACCUACGGGUGAAAGCAGGGGAUCUUCGGACCUUUCGCGAUUGAAUGAGCCGAUGGCGGAUUAGCUAGUUGGCGGGGUAAAGGCCCACCAAGGCGACGACCCGUAGCUGGUCUGAGAGGAUGAUCAGCCACACUGGAACUGAGACACGGUCCAGACUCCUACGGGAGGCAGCAGUGGGGAAUAUUGGACAAUGGGCGCAAGCCUGAUCCAGCCAUACCGCGUGGGUGAAGAAGGCCUUCGGGUGGUAAAGCCCUGUUGUUGGGAAAGAAAAGCAGCAGGUUAAUACCCCGCUGUUCUGACGGUACCCAAAGAAUAAGCACCGGCUAACUUCGUG
Molecule: ribosomal RNA, 492 nt
Filed under: uncultured bacterium
Lineage: Bacteria
Description: partial 16S ribosomal RNA
Rfam family: Bacterial small subunit ribosomal RNA
Source: RNAcentral